GCCGCUGUGUUGACACGCUCUGCACCUUGCUCCUGCCCUCGCCUUUCACUCUUCUUAUCCCCCCGAUACCCCGAUCAUUCCUGACAGCUCCUGAGUGCCUGGAUUUCAUCAUCCAGCCCUGCAGGAUGCUCCCCUUUGUCCUGAGGAAGGCUGUCCCAGAUGGAGAGGAGGAGAUGGAGGUGGAUACAAAGAUUGAUAUGGAUGAGGAGAUGGAAAUUGACGGAGAAGACUCUGGAGAGGAAGAGAUGGACGUGGAUGUGGAUGAGGAAGAGGAGAUGGAAGUGGAUAUGGAAGAGUCCAUUGAGGACAUGGACAUUGAUUGAAAAGGCUGUCCCAGAUGAAGAGGAGGAGAUGGAGGUGGAUACAAAGAUUGAUAGAGAGGAGGACAUAGAGACGGAGGGAGAAGGCCCUGGAGAGGAGGAGAUGGAGGUGGAGGUGGAGGUGGAAGAGGAGAUCGAAUUGGAUAUGGAAGAGUCCAUUGAGGACAUGGACCUUGACUGAAAAGGUGCAAUGGACAUCACAGACAGAGACACCACCCUUUUGUAUAUAUGUUCUACAGUUUGUUGUUGUUCUUUAGAAUAGGUUGUAGGGCUAUUUUUGACUUCUGUAAAUACGUUUCACAUAGUUUUCCUAGGUAGGUUUUUAUGUAUAUAUGUUCUAUUGAUUGUUGAUGUUACAAAUAUCCUUACAAUGUAAAUAUGUUCUGUAUUUUUGCUGCUGUUCUUCUGUAACAAACAAAUUUUAUUUUUCACGCCCCAGUUCUCCUUGCAUUUGCUUCAGGCACAGGCAGCAUUUUGAAAAGUUGUGCAUUCCACUUGCUCCAGGUUCCCAGGGCUGGAGGUCAGAAGUAGAUGAAGGGGAAAAAAUCCACAAUUAAGGGUGUCCAUGACAGCCAGAGCCAAAAGAAGCACAGGGGAUCAGGAAAGAGGGAAGCACGUGCUCCAAACAACAGCAGAAAUAUAGUGAGAGCUCUGGAGAGAACAAAAGAAAGAGGAAGCCUGAAGAAAGGAAAAAACGUCUCCCUACAAGAUUCACCACCCCUCAAAUAAUCAACUCUCAAAUCCAUCAGGGAGAGAGGAGUCCUCCCUUGCCUCAUAGGCUUCCCCUGGAAGCACAAUUGAAACCUCCUGUGCUUCCGUGUCACUCAUGGCCCCACCCAGAGAACAUCGGCCCUCGUGACUUCUCCCCCGCCAUGUCCAGUGCUCUCACCACCGGACACGGGCCAGGACUGCUUUUAGGGCUCCCCGUUUCAAGAUGCUCCACCCACUUCCAGAAACAGCAGUCUCUCAACUUCGGGACUCCAGUCCCCCCACAAAUUUCACCCCCUGGGGCCGAGGGGCCUCAUGAACAGAGAUCUCAAACCCUCCCCACGGAGACAGAGGGCCUCCCACACCCUCCUCAGCCAUCUCUGUUCACGCCGCUGCUUCACUCUUGACUCCCGGGUGUUGCCUCCUCCUAAAUACAGUCUCUGGGUCACAGGGAAAAAACACGGGUCUGUCCAUGGCUAUACAAGAAAGAGUCCAGCCCAAGGCCACUCUAUCAUCUCUUCUACCCAGGAUUCUUCUCUCCUCUUCCAGCUUUCCUCACGCUUGCCCAUUUCAUCUCUCAUCUCUCUCUCACCUCAUUCUGAUUCAGGAGGAUUCAGUAUUUGUAAGGUUUCCAUUAGUCUACAAAGGGGUUAAAAUCUUCACUUCUGCCUGCCCGAGGACUCCCACAUCUGCCAGGCACCUUCUCUCGCCGCAUCCCCCGCUUCUGGCCGGCUGAGCUGCCAGCACAGUCUCUGU
This is an RNA transcript of Passer domesticus (house sparrow), 1784 nucleotides long. It is a transcript of the gene named YTH domain-containing protein 1-like, with no coding region annotated. The record is from RefSeq and is a predicted model, not a curated record. NCBI's taxonomy places the organism in Eukaryota, Metazoa, Chordata, Aves, Passeriformes, Passeridae. The transcript has 5 exons.